AACUGAUACUACCUGCGGGAACCUGCGGAGGGAUCAUUAGUGUACGCCCUCACGGGCUUAUAACUAUUCCAAACCUCUGUGAACCGUGCCCUUCGGGGCUAUUUUACAAACAUGGUGUAAUGAACGUCAUAUAUCAUAACAAAACAAAACUUUUAACAAUGGAUCUCU
RNAcentral lists this unclassified non-coding RNA (168 nucleotides) under soil metagenome. RNAcentral describes it as "partial contains 5.8S ribosomal RNA, internal transcribed spacer 2, and large subunit ribosomal RNA". The record is from RNAcentral.